This 1435-nucleotide ribosomal RNA is filed under the name uncultured organism. RNAcentral describes it as "SSU rRNA". It matches the Rfam family "Bacterial small subunit ribosomal RNA". The record is from RNAcentral.
CUUAACACACGCAAGUCGAGGGGCAGCAUGGUCUUAGCUUGCUAAGGCCGAUGGCGACCGGCGCACGGGUGAGUAACACGUAUCCAACCUGCCGUCUACUCUUGGACAGCCUUCUGAAAGGAAGAUUAAUACAAGAUGGCAUCAUGAGUCCGCAUGUUCACAUGAUUAAAGGUAUUCCGGUAGACGAUGGGGAUGCGUUCCAUUAGAUAGUAGGCGGGGUAACGGCCCACCUAGUCUUCGAUGGAUAGGGGUUCUGAGAGGAAGGUCCCCCACAUUGGAACUGAGACACGGUCCAAACUCCUACGGGAGGCAGCAGUGAGGAAUAUUGGUCAAUGGGCGAGAGCCUGAACCAGCCAAGUAGCGUGAAGGAUGACUGCCCUAUGGGUUGUAAACUUCUUUUAUAAAGGAAUAAAGUCGGGUAUGCAUACCCGUUUGCAUGUACUUUAUGAAUAAGGAUCGGCUAACUCCGUGCCAGCAGCCGCGGUAAUACGGAGGAUCCGAGCGUUAUCCGGAUUUAUUGGGUUUAAAGGGAGCGUAGAUGGAUGUUUAAGUCAGUUGUGAAAGUUUGCGGCUCAACCGUAAAAUUGCAGUUGAUACUGGAUAUCUUGAGUGCAGUUGAGGCAGGCGGAAUUCGUGGUGUAGCGGUGAAAUGCUUAGAUAUCACGAAGAACUCCGAUUGCGAAGGCAGCCUGCUAAGCUGCAACUGACAUUGAGGCUCGAAAGUGUGGGUAUCAAACAGGAUUAGAUACCCUGGUAGUCCACACGGUAAACGAUGAAUACUCGCUGUUUGCGAUAUACGGCAAGCGGCCAAGCGAAAGCGUUAAGUAUUCCACCUGGGGAGUACGCCGGCAACGGUGAAACUCAAAGGAAUUGACGGGGGCCCGCACAAGCGGAGGAACAUGUGGUUUAAUUCGAUGAUACGCGAGGAACCUUACCCGGGCUUAAAUUGCAGAUGAAUUACGGUGAAAGCCGUAAGCCGCAAGGCAUCUGUGAAGGUGCUGCAUGGUUGUCGUCAGCUCGUGCCGUGAGGUGUCGGCUUAAGUGCCAUAACGAGCGCAACCCUUGUUGUCAGUUACUAACAGGUUCCGCUGAGGACUCUGACAAGACUGCCAUCGUAAGAUGUGAGGAAGGUGGGGAUGACGUCAAAUCAGCACGGCCCUUACGUCCGGGGCUACACACGUGUUACAAUGGGGGGUACAGAGGGCCGCUACCACGCGAGUGGAUGCCAAUCCCAAAAACCUCUCUCAGUUCGGACUGGAGUCUGCAACCCGACUCCACGAAGCUGGAUUCGCUAGUAAUCGCGCAUCAGCCACGGCGCGGUGAAUACGUUCCCGGGCCUUGUACACACCGCCCGUCAAGCCAUGGGAGCCGGGGGUACCUGAAGUGCGUAACCGCGAGGAGCGCCCUAGGGUAAAACUGGUGACUGGGGCUAAGA